GAUGAACGCUGGCGGCGUGCCUAAUACAUGCAAGUCGAGCGAACGGACGAGAAGCUUGCUUCUCUGAUGUUAGCGGCGGACGGGUGAGUAACACGUGGAUAACCUACCUAUAAGACUGGGAUAACUUCGGGAAACCGGAGCUAAUACCGGAUAAUAUUUUGAACCGCAUGGUUCAAAAGUGAAAGACGGUCUUGCUGUCACUUAUAGAUGGAUCCGCGCGGCAUUAGCUAGUUGGUAAGGUAACGGCUUACCAAGGCAACGAUGCAUAGCCGACCUGAGAGGGUGAUCGGCCACACUGGAACGGAGACACGGUCCAGACUCCUACGGGAGGCAGCAGUAGGGAAUCUUCCGCAAUGGGCGAAAGCCUGACGGAGCAACGCCGCGUGAGUGAUGAAGGUCUUCGGAUCGUAAAACUCUGUUAUUAGGGAAGAACAUAUGUGUAAGUAACUGUGCACAUCUUGACGGUACCUAAUCAGAAAGCCACGGCUAACUACGUG
RNAcentral lists this ribosomal RNA (497 nucleotides) under uncultured bacterium. RNAcentral describes it as "partial 16S ribosomal RNA". It matches the Rfam family "Bacterial small subunit ribosomal RNA", at positions 28 to 507 of the family's 1533-position model. The record is from RNAcentral.